GAUGAACGCUAGCUACAGGCUUAACACAUGCAAGUCGAGGGGCAUCAGGAAGAAAGCUUGCUUUCUUUGCUGGCGACCGGCGCACGGGUGAGUAACACGUAUCCAACCUGCCCUUUACUCGGGGCUAGCCUUUCGAAAGAAAGAUUAAUACCCGAUGGGAUAAUGAUUCCGCAUGGUUUGAUUAUUAAAGGAUUCCGGUAAAGGAUGGGGAUGCGUUCCAUUAGGUUGUUGGUGAGGUAACGGCUCACCAAGCCUUCGAUGGAUAGGGGUUCUGAGAGGAAGGGCCCCCACAUUGGAACUGAGACACGGUCCAAACUCCUACGGGAGGCAGCAGUGAGGAAUAUUGGUCAAUGGGCGCGAGCCUGAACCAGCCAAGUAGCGUGAAGGAUGACUGCCCUAUGGGUUGUAAACUUCUUUUAUAUUAGAAUAAAGUGCAGUAUGUAUACUGUUUUGUAUGUAUAAUAUGAAUAAGGAUCGGCUAACUCCGUGCCAGCCGCCGCAGUAA
Molecule: ribosomal RNA, 505 nt
Filed under: uncultured bacterium
Lineage: Bacteria
Description: partial 16S ribosomal RNA
Rfam family: Bacterial small subunit ribosomal RNA
Source: RNAcentral